UAGCAAAGCCAAGUAAAUCUAAUUUUUAAGAAUUAUUCAAUAAAGGUACAGCUUUAUUGAAAAAGGAAACAACCUAAACCUUAGGAUAAUGAAUAUUUUUAAAUAGGUAAAAGGCCAAGUUGGCCUAAAAGCAGCCAUCUUUAAAGAUAGCGUCAAAGCUUCACCUUAAACACACCUUAAAUCUCAUUAUUUUUUCAUAAUCCAACAAUUCUACUAAGCCAUUCUAUACUUUUAUAGAAAAGUUUAUGUUAGGACUAGUAACACAGAAUAAUUUCUCUUACAUGUAAGUUUAAAUCAACCCGAAUACCUCCUUGAUAAUUACUCAAAUUUGAACCUUAAGUAGUACCUAUUAAUUACAAAAACCCUACUUAACUUAUUGUUAAUCAAACAUAUGGAUAUGAAAGAAAGAUUAAAAAAUUAAGAAGGAACUCGGCAAACACAAGUCCCGCCUGUUUACCAAAAACAUCGCCUUUUGAAAAGUAUAAAAGGUAACGCCUGCCCACUGACAGUAUGUUUAACGGCCGCGGUAUUCUGACCGUGCGAAGGUAGCGUAAUCACUUGUCUUUUAAAUGAAGACUCGUAUGAAAGGCAUCACGAGAACUUAGCUGUCUCCUUAAUUCAAUCAGUGAAACUGAUACCCCUGUAAAAAAGCAGGGAUGAUUACAUAAGACGAGAAGACCCUGUGGAGCUUAAAACAUAAGCUACUUCUAUACUCUACUAACUUAUAGUACUAAAAUACAAACCUAGCCUAAGUUUUCUGUUGGGGCGGCUGUGGAGAAAAACUUAUCCUCCAUGAAGAAAAAACUUUGAUCUACCGCUCUUAGUAUUAGCAAGCCUAACUUAAAUUGAUCCAAUUUUUGAUCAACGGACCAAGUUACCCCAGGGAUAACAGCGCAAUCCUUUUCAAGAGUCCCUAUCGACAAAUGGGUUUACGACUUCGAUGUUGGAUUAGGACAUCCUAGUGGUGUAGCCGCUACUA
Molecule: ribosomal RNA, 979 nt
Filed under: Leptobrachium hendricksoni (spotted litter frog)
Lineage: Eukaryota; Metazoa; Chordata; Amphibia; Anura; Megophryidae
Description: partial 16S ribosomal RNA
Rfam family: Bacterial large subunit ribosomal RNA
Source: RNAcentral